RNAcentral lists this ribosomal RNA (267 nucleotides) under uncultured Pseudomonas sp. RNAcentral's name for it is "partial 16S ribosomal RNA". It matches the Rfam family "Bacterial small subunit ribosomal RNA", at positions 1120 to 1382 of the family's 1533-position model. The record is from RNAcentral. Lineage: Bacteria; Pseudomonadati; Pseudomonadota; Gammaproteobacteria; Pseudomonadales; Pseudomonadaceae.
AGCACGUUAUGGUGGGCGACUCUAAGGAGACUGCCGGGUGACAAACCGGAGGAAGGUGGGGGAGUGACGUCAAGUCAUCAUGGCCCUUACGGCCUGGGCUACACACGUGCUACAAUGGUCGGUACAAAGGGUUGCCAAGCCGCGAGGUGGAGCUAAUCCCAUAAAACCGAUCGUAGUCCGGAUCGCAGUCUGCAACUCGACUGCGUGAAGUCGGAAUCGCUAGUAAUCGUGAAUCAGAAUGUCACGGUGAAUACGUUCCCGGGCCUU